This is a non-coding RNA of Canis lupus familiaris (dog), 83 nucleotides long. The record is from Rfam. NCBI's taxonomy places the organism in Eukaryota, Metazoa, Chordata, Mammalia, Carnivora, Canidae.
GCCUGGGUGGCUCAGUGGUAGAGCAUCUGCCUCUGGCUCAGGCUGUGAUCCUAGGGUCCUGGGAUUGAGUCCCACUUCGGGCU